Molecule: unclassified non-coding RNA, 117 nt
Organism: Pongo abelii (Sumatran orangutan)
Lineage: Eukaryota; Metazoa; Chordata; Mammalia; Primates; Hominidae
Rfam family: Metazoan signal recognition particle RNA
About the family: The signal recognition particle (SRP) is a universally conserved ribonucleoprotein. It is involved in the co-translational targeting of proteins to membranes. The eukaryotic SRP consists of a 300-nucleotide 7S RNA and six proteins: SRPs 72, 68, 54, 19, 14, and 9.
Source: Ensembl
GCCGGGCACGGUGGCUCACGCCUGUAAUCCCAGCACUUUGGGAGGCUGAGGCGGGUGGAUCACCUGAGGUCAGGAGUUCGAGACCAGCCUGACCAAUACGGUGAAACCCCGUCUCUA